This 787-nucleotide long non-coding RNA is filed under the name Cyanistes caeruleus (blue tit). RNAcentral's name for it is "lncRNA (ENSCCEG00000013693.1)". Lineage: Eukaryota; Metazoa; Chordata; Aves; Passeriformes; Paridae. The record is from RNAcentral.
GGAAUUCAUAAUGUCACUGUUAGUCAGUACACAAAGUGCUUCAAUAUUUUUGUUUCUUUUGCUAUAUAAAAACGUGCCCCUGCUUAUAUUGUUUCCUAACUAGCAUUAAAUAUAUCCAGUUAAGUAUGUAUGAAUGAUGCUUUCUUGUAAUUUCUUCAAUUUAACUCUAGCAGUUUAAGAAGCUCGGGAAUGAUCUUGGACACUGCAGCAGGAAAACACAGGAAUUGAAGUUGUGCAAGAGAAGAAAAGACCAAGCCAGUCACUCCACAGUUUUUUUUGUAGAGCCAAGAACAAUACUUGCUCUAUUUUAAAAAGAAAUAUGUACCUGUAAAGAUAUUCUGUUUGGAAACACAGAGAGUUUCUCAGAAACCUGCACUCAGACAACCAAGAUGACUGGUUCUGCCCCCUAGAACAAAAUGGGUAUAAUUCUUGAACAACUGGCCAAGUUCUAACACAGGAUACAGAAGUGUUUAAUUGUUGGAAAUCUGCCCACUCAGCUCCAAGGACUAGAAAUAAUGGAAUCAAGCUUCCCACAAGGAAAACCUUAUUUCCCUUUCCAAAAGCUCUUAGUCCCUUGAAGCAGGAAGACAUGCCAGAAGUAAAUAAUCUGAAGUUGAAGACAUCCAUAGAAAAAGACUCUGCUUUGAUUUUCAUGUUCUCAAGAGGAAGAAGGGACAUGUGAUCUGCUUAAAGAUCUCAUUAACUCUUAAUUGUAGACUGAUAAAACCAAAACCUCUAUGUGGUAGUCCAGGCUGAGUUAUUUUGGGAAUUAUUGGUUAAUCUCACU